UGUGUGAGGUACGGCCACCANGCGACGACGGGUAGCUGGUCUGAGAGGACUACCAGCCACACUGGAACUGAGAUACGGUCCAGACUCCUACGGGAGGCAGCAGUGGGGAAUAUUGCACAAUGGGCGAAAGCCUGAUGCAGCGACGCCGCGUGAGGGAUGAAGGCCUUCGGGUCGUAAACCUCUUUCGGCAGGGACGAAGCGAUCAGUGACGGUACCUGCAGAAGAAGCCCCGGCUAACUACGUGCCAGCAGCCGCGGUAAGACGUAGGGGGCGAGCGUUGUCCGGAUUCAUUGGGCGUAAAGCGCGCGUAGGCGGCUGCGCAAGUCGGUUGUGAAAUUCCGGGGCUCAACCCCGGAACUGCGUCCGAUACUGCGUGGCUAGAGGUAGGUAGGGGAGAUCGGAAUUCCUGGUGUAGCGGUGAAAUGCGCAGAUAUCAGGAGGAACACCGGUGGCGAAGGCGGAUCUCUGGGCCUUACCUGACGCUCAGGCGCGAAAGCUAGGGGAGCGAACAGGAUUANAUACCCUGGUAGUCCUAGCCGUAAACGUUGGGUGCUAGGUG
This 559-nucleotide ribosomal RNA is filed under the name uncultured Actinomycetes bacterium. RNAcentral describes it as "bacterial SSU rRNA". It matches the Rfam family "Bacterial small subunit ribosomal RNA", at positions 249 to 822 of the family's 1533-position model. The record is from RNAcentral. Lineage: Bacteria; Bacillati; Actinomycetota; Actinomycetes.